GUGCCAGCAGCCGCGGUAAUACGUAGGUGGCAAGCGUUGUCCGGAUUUACUGGGCGUAAAGGAUGCGUAGGCGGAUAUUUAAGUCAGAUGUGAAAUACCCGGGCUCAACUUGGGUGCUGCAUUUGAAACUGGAUAUCUAGAGUGCGGGAGAGGUAAGUGGAAUUCCUAGUGUAGCGGUGAAAUGCGUAGAGAUUAGGAAGAACACCAGUGGCGAAGGCGACUUACUGGACCGUAACUGACGCUGAGGCAUGAAAGCGUGGGGAGCAAACAGGAUUAGAAACCCCAGUAGUCC
RNAcentral lists this ribosomal RNA (292 nucleotides) under uncultured bacterium. RNAcentral's name for it is "partial 16S ribosomal RNA". It matches the Rfam family "Bacterial small subunit ribosomal RNA", at positions 505 to 796 of the family's 1533-position model. The record is from RNAcentral.